AUUCACUGAAUAUGACUCAGUUUUAUUUAAUAAAUUUGUUUAUUAUUUUGGCCAAAUUUUAUAUCCACACAUCAAAUUUUUAAAGCAAGAAGCCAAACUUUUCAGAGCUGAUUGUCCAUAUCAAACAUUUUUCUACAUCUGAAUAUACAAACAGAAAAGCUGUUAAAACUUAAGACUCCUGUGAGCAUUCAAAUAUAUUUAUUUUCUUUUAUUACAGCUUUUAAUCCCUCUGGCGUGUUUAUAGACACCAGUUGUGUACACAAGGUACUGUAAACUCGUCUCAGUAAAGCUGAUUAAAAAUCACUCAAAAGAAUCACUCCUAUAAUAAAGUUUAUUUUACUAUGACUUUAAACGACUACCAAACCACACAUACUUGAACUUUAUUGUCAUCAUCUCUGUCAACAAAACUGCAGUUUCAUCUCCAGUCAGAUGCCAAUAACGAUAUAAAAGUAGCAACCAGUGUUGGGCAAACUAAGCUUCAUUUAUACUCCCAAGCGGACAGCUGCAGACAUAACGGACGGGUAGUUGUCCUGUUUAUACUACCUUCUAGGGUCCGCUUGGAGGACAUGUUCCACACAUGCGCAAUAGAUCCCCGUCUACAGGAACACAGCGUUGUGACCGCGCGGACACAACAAAUUGCACGUACGCGGAUGUCCUCACAGAGCCUACGCGUAUACUCUCUGAUGACGAAAUUUACAUCAUGCGGACCCUAGCGGACCCUCACAGACACGGAUAGUAUAACUUCAACAUUACUGAAAAUUAGUAAUUAGUUACAGUUACUGGUUACUUCUCUUAAAAAGUAACUAAAUUACUUACCAGUUACUGCGUAUAAAAAGUAACUAGUUACUAAGGAAAGUAACUUUUACAUUACUUAAAGCUGAAAUUAUACUUUCCAAGUCUGCGCGGGUUUGCAAGGGUUUGCUAGGGUCCACAUGACGUCAUCAUCAGAGUGUGUAUGCGUAGGCUCUGUGAGGACAUCCGUGUACGUGCAAUUUGUUGUGUCACAACACAGUGUUUCUGUAGACACCACAGACAGUUAGUUGUUCUGUUAAUACUACUUUCAGGAGUCCGCUUGGAGGACACGUUCCACACAUGCGCAGUAGAUCGCCGUCUACAAGGAGACAGCGUUGUUUGCAGAAGAAAGGCUGAACUACUGUAACUUCCUCUACCUACCGAAGGCAUCUAUCAAGUUGUUAUUUCCUGUUUUCAACUUCCAUCCACGACGCUGCUGCCUGCUUAUUAACAAGGUCCAAGAAACGAGACCACAUCACCUUUAUCCUGGCAUCCGUAGACUGGCUCCCCGCUCGUUUAAGGCUCCACCAGACCCUGAAGAUUCACCACAAGACUCACUUUUAUUCUCCGGCUUUUAAUUGUGUUUAAUCUGUUCUUAUUUCUAUCUGAUUUCUGUGUGUGUGUUUAGACUUGUUUCUAUUUUAAUCUUGCUUUAUUUUCACAUCUGUUAUGCACAUAUAUGUCCUUAUUGCUUGUAUGCGUUUACAGACAUAUGGUUUUAAAGUGCUAUAUAAAUAAAGUAAAGUUUAAUAAGCUUUACAGUUAGAGAAGAAAAACCUUUUCCACGCUAUUCUGACUCAACAUGUUUUAACUUUAUUGAAGCUACAUGUUUCUCAAUCUGACGGCAUUACACUGCAUUUUUUUCUUACAGCUGCAACAUCACAUUAAACAGAAAUAUUCUACAUUUCGUACGCACAAAAAUUCAGCCUGUAACAUUUGAUAUAUUAGUAAACUCUUCUGUUUCAAUUCAAAAUACACCUAAACCAGCAGUGUGUCGUGCAGUUUGGAGUUUGAAGUUAACCAUUAAUUUAACUUUUUUUUUUUUUUUUAAACAUUUCUCACUGUGUAGCAUCUACAGCUUUUAAAGCACACAGUGACUUUAGACUCUUGUUAUCUAACAGCACCUGUUGUUAUUUUGGCCACUUCAGUCAGAUACAAAAAUCUCUCUCCGCAGUCUUCCUCUGACUAGUCCGAACUCUUUCUAGACAAUCAUUUAUUUGAGCUGAGGAUGACUGACAUGUAUUAAAAACUAUGAAGCAAGGCCCGGAUAUAUUUACCAUAUUUAUAAAUAACACAUCAGCAUGGAGCCACAGAGGAUCCCUCCCUCGUCACCGUGAGGCAAAGAUCCAGCUGGCAGGUAGGGCGGGGUGACGUCAGCUCGGGAAAAAACACGCAGACAGGUACUUGUGAAUUCCUGAGUUAUGAAGGAACAAAUAUUCCUUAUCUGUUGUUCACAGAUCAUGGGGAUGACAGGAGCCAAGAAACACUUAUAAACCAAGAAAGAAUAAUAAGCAAACACUUAAAGAAUAGCAUGUUUGGCCUUCUAGGAUGAAUUUACAAAACAAAGAGGCUGUGAGUGUUUCCCCUUCAAGGCGAGACAAGUGCUGACACACCUUCCCUCAGGAAUGUGAGAGAAGACAGCAGGAAAAGGGUUGUAAAAGCGUCUGUGAUAUUGUUACUAAUAAUAUAGAUAGACAGAAACUGCGAUAACAAGGAGCAGUAUGUGACAACUACUGUAGCCGAGUGAACUGAAGUGUUUUACAGGCGUCUGUGUGGGAGGAAAAGCCAAGAGGAGAGGGAAAGAUCUGAGCAGUAAAUGGGCGUGUAAGUUUCACAGGGAGUUUCACUCCCGGCUCUCUUAGUCAUGUCAUUCAGCAGCUUAGACAGCAAAGAGGAGCAGGUCGGCUUCAGAGCUCUUAUCUGUUGAGACUCAACGACUACUACGAGGACAAACGUCAGGUUUGGAUGACCACGUGUGGACGUUUCAACCAAAGCUUUCACACCUAAAAGGAAGAAGAUUUAAACUAGAAGAAGACCGUUUAUAAGAAGAAGAAGAAGAAGACACCUGCCGACUAUCUGAUCAAGACUUUAAAAUCCGAGGGAGUGUUCAAAGCCUUUAUAUUUGGAUCAGAAAUGUCUAACUCAUCUCAGACAAAUAUAACAGUGGAUGAAGAGGCCCCGUUGAACACUGUUGCAGGAUCAGGUGAAGCAAAAAAUAAUGAUACUUGCCAUCAAGUGAUCAGCAUCGCCGCCGCGUCCUGCUGCAGCGACAAACAUCACAGGAAGCUGGCCGUCUGCAGCAUCGUCUGCGGGAUCUCCUGCAUCGGGAUCAAGGCUUUGAUAAAUUCAGUCAAGGCUCAACGAGAACCAGAUCAAGCCGCAGCUGAGAAGUAUACACGACGGGCAAAGAAGCUCGGCAUCAUCUCCAUCGCCACAUGGGUUUCCAUUCUGGUUUUAACGCCUGUGUUGAUGAUACUGAUCUCAUAUCUCAUCACUCUGAUAGACUGAUGGACUUUUAAAAACAGCUCCACAGACAGAGGAUAAAACCAGCAUCGUCUGAUUUUGGAUGGUUGUGUUACCGACGCAGCGGUCGGUACGAAGCUGCUUAUCAACGACUACAAACCACGAAGAAGCUUUUAGUUAC
Molecule: long non-coding RNA, 3436 nt
Organism: Thunnus maccoyii (southern bluefin tuna)
Lineage: Eukaryota; Metazoa; Chordata; Actinopteri; Scombriformes; Scombridae
Exons: 5
Source: RefSeq, a predicted model, not a curated record